This is a long non-coding RNA of Phacochoerus africanus (Common warthog), 1991 nucleotides long. RefSeq lists it as uncharacterized. Lineage: Eukaryota; Metazoa; Chordata; Mammalia; Artiodactyla; Suidae. The record is from RefSeq and is a predicted model, not a curated record. The transcript has 3 exons.
UUCUGCCCGAGGCUCAAAUUACACAGUGGCGGCUUGGGGUGGGAACAGUGAGCCCCGGAGUCGGAAGAGCAGCCCCAACAGCCUGGUCGCUGAAGCUGAGUGAGCGGCCAUCGCAUCCCCUCAGCCACUCCAGGAUGGGCAGCAGCAGUGGACUGAGCUUCCCAGGAGAGGCUCCUGGCCCCGAACCUGCGGGGUUGUGGCCGUACACUUCAUCAGCUUCCAGCGCAUGAAGUGGCCCAAAGCAGGCAGCAGACUUGGUGUCCCCCGCAAAAGUGACAACUUCAUCUAGAGGCUGUUGCACAGAAACUCUCCAACCAGGAGGCAGAGACCAGCAGCUGCCCUCUCGGUUCCCAGGACGUGCACUAGAAAUUUCCAGUCCUAAGGGGGCUGCAGCGUUACCCAUCUUCCAACUGAUGACCAAAAAGUGGGCUUGAGAAAACUUUUUACUGUUUAAGAGACUGAACAGGAGGGGGUGCCUUCGUUUUGGAUGCUAUUUUUGAGAAGCUGGUCAAAGAAGGGGAAAAUAGAAUUGGUGCUGAAGCCCCCGCCAGGUGGAAGAAUCAAUUGCAUGCUGUCCAGGAGCAGGUAGACCCCAGAUUGGUUGGAACCAGAAGGUUGAUGACACUGACUCCCAAUUACCACCAACCAGUCCGCAGAAUAUCCCCAAGCUGACCAAGCCCUGCUCCUUGAACCCUCUCCUGGAACCGAGAUCAACGUUGGCAGUCCCUUUCCAGGACCGCCCUGGCACUCCAGCGGAGCCAGAAAGAACCUCCUCCAGCCCUAGGGCAGUGAAUCUUGGCUGCCAGCGAUAGCUUCUUCAGGGCGGAUGACAUUCCUCAUGAGGCCUGAAGAUGUCGCCAGAGGAUCAGCCUGAGGAACGGGGAGGCGGGGAAAAUCGGAGCUGCGUGAGGAUUGACAGUCAUUGUGGCCAAUGGUAGCCUGUUGUGGUCCCCCCCCCCUUCCGUGUUCUGACCCCAAGAGCUUCCCACCCCUUUAGUGGGUGCAAUCGUGACAGGGAAUGGAGAGGUCGGGGUGGUAGAUACUGUGUCGUGUGCUCCCUGAGGGUAUCCCUGUUAGUUCAAGGUUGCAAUAGCUCAUGUUGACUACUCCUCUUCACCUCCCCCACCCCCUUCGCCCCCAACGUAUCUUCCUCCCAGUUAACUAAGGCUCACCUCACCUGUUUUUGGCAAACUUAUUUCUCCAUCACUCUGGGUCCUCGCAGUUUUGGUGAAAGGCAGUCUGGGGGCAAAGCAGGCGCACUACUACCAGUCCUUGUUUUAGAGACUAUUUGCAGCACUGACAUUGUGGGGCAGGCUGUCCGGCGGUUAGGAUGAAGAGAUGAGAGUGAAAGAUAACAGGUGGGAAGCAUCCACUAAAUGCAUAGUGUUUCACCAUUUCCAUCGGAGUGUCUCAUUACAUCAUCUUUUUAUUUAAUCCAUUUCCUGUUUUACAGAUUAGGAAACAAAAUGAAUAAAUUGCCGGUGGCAGUCCUUGGAUGAUUUUAACUCGUCAGACGCCAAUGCCCGAGGUCUUUUAUUGUGCCAAGGCUGCUUUUGCAGUAUUUCAAUGCUCACGGACCCCGUGAAUCACUUCUUCCUACACUGAUUCAUCCUUCCGAUCGUCUCUUCAUUUAUUCAUUUCUUAGGGGCCCUUCCCCCUGGAGACAGAGGCCUAGUUGCUUUUAAAAAUAUCCCCCUCACUACCACCAAAAAUAGCACUCUGGGGAGUGCUGUUGUGGCUCAGCGGUCCCACUUUGUCCCUGCAGCAGCUCAAGUCGCUGCUGUGUGGCAUGUUUGAUCUCUGCACCUGGGAACUUCCACACGACAAGGACACGGUCAGGAUAUGCACACACAGAUUAUCGAUACCUAUUUUGUUUCAGAUGAUAGGAUGGUGUCUGAAGAUACAGACUCUUGCCUUUCCAGAGGCCAUAGGCAGUAACUUUUGACCUUUUAAUGUCCCAUCCCUAUAAUUUUUAUUUUUUAAAUUUUUUU